UCGUCCGUCACACCAUUUGAGUUGAAGAUGGCUUAAGUUGUUAUUCUAACCCGUAAGGGGGGCGCUUUAAGUUGUAUGUUUAGUGAGGGGGGUGAAGUAGCAACAAGGCGAUCGCAUUUUCCGGUAUGGCUGAAUUAGCCUCUUUGUAGAAGAAAGACAAAUUAAGGCUAAUUCUAUUGACGAUUCUUUGUACUUUUAUUUUGAUGAAAAAAUCUUUGAAGUCAGGGUAAAUUUUUAGUUUAAAAUUUAGAAAAAAUAAAUCUUUAGCAGGUGUUUGGCAGUAUUUGGCUUUAUAUUUAAUUAAGCUAUUGUUUGAUAGCAGGUACAAUUUUAGGGUGAAGGGCUUUUAUAUUAUUAAUUAUAGCUUAAAGCAAUAUUGCCAUAUUUAAAACGAUGAAAUACAUUGGGACCAGGAUGAGUUGAACAUCCGACCUCAGGUUUAUCAGACCUGCGCUCUAACCACCUGAGCUAUGAUCC
RNAcentral lists this unclassified non-coding RNA (477 nucleotides) under Borreliella bissettiae. RNAcentral's name for it is "Borreliella bissettii partial 16S-23S ribosomal RNA intergenic spacer". Lineage: Bacteria; Pseudomonadati; Spirochaetota; Spirochaetia; Spirochaetales; Borreliaceae. The record is from RNAcentral.